CGAGAGACGGCAGUCUUCGUCAGUCCGUCCGCAAUCGCGAUCACAGUGGUGUGCACUGACCGGGUGCCACUCCAUCUCCCAUCAGCUCUCAGCUAUGUCGUGUGUCUGUGACUCGUGUCAAUCGUGUUGUGAAUCCGUGUCGUGCCAGUGACCACUACAUUUAUUGCAUUCUGACCAUCAUCCAGAAUCGAGAAGUAGGCUGCUUCAAAAUCGGACGAUGCAUAUUUCUUAACAAUGACUGCAUAAAGUAGGCCAAUAGGUCUAGCCCAAAGCAGGGUUGAUUACAACUCGUCUCCAUGACCCGAGGAUAAGACCCCAUUUUCUUGGUCCAGUCUUUUGAAAACGUGAGAAAGAAUGGCAUCAAUAGAUGGACGGCCUGCCAAGUAUGGGAUCUCCCUCAAACAGCUGCGGGAGCUCAUGGAGCACCGCGGCCGUGAGGGAAUUGCCAAAGUCACCGAACACGGUGGCGUGCAAGAAAUUUGUAAAAAGCUUUACACAUCCCCCAGCGAAGGAUUAUGUGGCUCCCAAGCAGACAUGGAGCACAGAAGAGAAACAUUUGGUUCGAAUACAAUUCCACCUAAACCUCCUAAAACGUUUAUGCAGUUAGUAUGGGAAGCUCUUCAAGAUGUUACACUAAUAAUUUUGGAAAUCGCUGCCCUAGUAUCUUUAGGUCUUUCAUUCUAUCAACCCGCGGAUGAGGAAGGAUCAUUUGUGGUAGAUGAAGAUGAAUCGAAACACGGAUGGAUCGAGGGUCUAGCUAUCUUAAUAUCUGUGAUUGUUGUUGUCAUAGUGACAGCAUUCAACGACUACACUAAGGAACGACAAUUUCGUGGUCUUCAAAGCCGAAUCGAAGGAGAACAUAAAUUUUCUGUCAUCAGGCAAGCGGAAGUGAAGCAAAUAUCAGUGGGUGAUAUUGUGGUCGGCGAUAUUUGUCAGAUCAAGUACGGUGAUCUAUUACCAGCUGACGGUAUUCUAAUACAAAGCAAUGAUUUGAAAAUAGAUGAAUCCUCGUUGACUGGAGAAUCUGAUCAUGUCAAAAAAGGAGAAAGUUUUGACCCUAUGGUGUUGUCAGGUACACAUGUUAUGGAAGGAAGCGGGAAGAUGCUUGUCACGGCCGUCGGAGUCAAUUCACAGGCAGGAAUCAUCUUCACACUGCUGGGAGCAGCCGUCGAUGAGCACGAAGCUGAAAUAAAACAGAAGAGGAAAGAAGCUAAAAAGCAGCGCAAGAAGAACAGUUCUACAGGGGCAGGAGCUCAAGCGGCAGCUGCUAGCACGGAAAACCAUGCGACAAUUUCGGCGACUGACGGAGCGGCUGCAGCUGAAGCAGCGGCUGAAACCGGAGCAUCCGGUGGAGAAGGAGGAGGAGGAAGUGGAGGAGGAGGCGACGACCAUAAAAAGGAGAAAUCUGUACUUCAAGCCAAGUUGACGAAACUCGCUAUUCAAAUUGGUUAUGCAGGAUCAACAAUCGCCGUUCUCACUGUUGUUAUUUUGGUUAUUCAAUUUUGUGUAAGGACAUUCGUUAUAGACCAGAAGCCAUGGUCGAAUAGGUACGCCAAUGAAUUCGUUCGCCAUUUAAUCAUUGGUGUGACCGUACUCGUAGUUGCUGUUCCAGAAGGCUUGCCACUUGCCGUCACGUUAUCUCUUGCCUAUUCUGUAAAAAAAAUGAUGAAAGACAACAACCUUGUAAGACAUCUUGAUGCUUGCGAAACGAUGGGAAACGCCACUGCCAUUUGUUCCGACAAAACUGGAACAUUGACCACUAAUAGGAUGACUGUUGUGCAGUCGUAUAUUUGUGAAGUACUUUGCAAAACUACUCCAAGGUUUGCUAACAUUCCUCCGAAUGUUGGUAACCUGCUUAUCCAGGCUAUCUCUAUUAAUUCCGCUUAUACGUCACGUGUUAUGGCUCCAGAAGAAGCAUCCGAGCUUCCAAAGCAAGUAGGUAAUAAGACAGAGUGCGCGCUGCUUGGGUUUGUACAAGGCCUAGGAAAGAACUACCAGACAAUCCGAGAUGAUAUGCCCGAAGAAAUGUUCACUCGCGUCUACACGUUCAACUCCGUGCGAAAAUCGAUGAGUACCGUGGUUCCUCGACAGGGUGGCGGAUACCGACUAUUUACCAAGGGUGCCUCAGAAAUUGUUCUAAAGAAAUGUGCGUUCAUUUACGGUCGUGAUGGACAUUUGGAGAAGUUCACAAGAGAGAUGCAAGAUCGAUUAGUACGAAACGUUAUCGAACCGAUGGCCUGUGAUGGACUGCGAACAAUAUCGAUCGCUUAUCGAGACUUUGUUCCCGGCAAGGCUGAGAUCAACCAAGUGCACAUCGAUGCUGAACCCAACUGGGAUGAUGAAGAGUACAUUGUCAACAAUCUUACUGGAAUUUGCGUUGUAGGAAUUGAGGAUCCCGUCAGGCCCGAGGUACCUGACGCCAUCAGGAAGUGUCAACGAGCUGGUAUUACGGUUAGAAUGGUAACAGGUGAUAAUAUCAACACUGCCAGAUCUAUUGCUUCGAAAUGUGGAAUCCUUCGACCGGGAGAUGAUUAUCUGAUUCUUGAAGGGAAAGAGUUCAAUCGCCGAAUUAGGGAUGCUAAUGGAGAGGUUCAACAACAUCUACUGGACAAGGUUUGGCCGAAACUGCGCGUACUGGCUCGUUCAUCACCCACGGACAAGUACACUCUCGUCAAAGGUAUUAUCGACAGUAAAGUGAGCGAAAGCAGGGAAGUUGUAGCUGUGACUGGUGAUGGAACAAACGACGGCCCUGCUCUCAAGAAGGCUGAUGUAGGAUUUGCCAUGGGUAUCGCUGGAACAGAUGUAGCUAAGGAAGCGUCAGACAUUAUUCUAACGGACGAUAACUUUAGCAGUAUAGUGAAAGCUGUGAUGUGGGGAAGAAACGUGUACGACAGUAUUGCCAAGUUUCUCCAGUUCCAAUUGACUGUCAAUGUUGUUGCUGUGAUUGUUGCUUUCAUUGGUGCUUGUGCGGUGCAGGACAGUCCCUUGAAGGCCGUUCAAAUGUUAUGGGUAAAUCUUAUUAUGGAUACGCUGGCUUCACUUGCAUUGGCUACUGAAAUGCCUACUCCUGACUUACUGUUGAGAAAGCCAUACGGUCGCACAAAACCUCUAAUCUCCAGGACAAUGAUGAAAAAUAUUUUAGGACAGGCUAUUUAUCAAUUAGGAGUUGUGUUCACUCUUCUUUUUGUUGGUGACCGACUGCUCGACAUACCCACAGGUCGAGGAAACACCUCGUUUGAGCCGACUGAACAUUUUACCAUUAUUUUCAAUACUUUUGUUAUGAUGACAUUGUUCAAUGAAAUAAACGCGAGAAAAAUCCAUGGCCAGAGAAAUGUGUUUGAAGGAUUCUUCACCAACCCGAUCUUCUAUACCAUUUGGAUUGGAACUGCUCUGUCACAGGUUGUGAUUGUGGAGAUGGGACGAGAAGCGUUUUCGACCAAAGGACUUUCAUUGGAGCAGUGGCUAUGGUGCUUAUUCUUUGGUAUUGGAACCCUGCUCUGGGGUCAAAUUGUCACUACUGUUCCUACUAGAAAAAUACCGAAAAUUUUAUCAUGGGGAAGAGGUCACCCAGAAGAGUACACAGAGGCUAUUAAUCUUGGAGAGGAAAAGUUUGAUCCUGAGAAUGCUGAUAAGAAACCUCGAGCUGGUCAAAUUCUAUGGAUUCGUGGAUUAACUCGCCUACAAACCCAGGUGAUAGGUGGUGAAUUGCAAGAACGUUUGAUUCCGGUUCCCUACAGCAAGAGCUCCACAGAUCAAGCUUUGGGCAGACCUGUUCAGAAAAUAAUAAGCAGUGGCGAAAGCUGCAAAAACGAGGUCUUCCUCUGAGAAAAAGGAGAGAUCUCGGCCUUGGAGUUAGAAAUACGUCCAACUCGUCCAUAUAAAGAUCCGAGUAGUUAAUGCUUUUCGGCAAGGUCUGGACGCGCGCUACAGCGAGUCUCUGGCUGAAGCGCUCCGCAAGCAGACAUCGCUGAGCAAGCGACUAUCGCAGGCCUCUUCCAUAGAGUACGCCGACAAC
This 4015-nucleotide unclassified non-coding RNA is filed under the name Nilaparvata lugens (brown planthopper). RNAcentral's name for it is "plasma membrane calcium-transporting ATPase 2, transcript variant X5". The record is from RNAcentral. Lineage: Eukaryota; Metazoa; Arthropoda; Insecta; Hemiptera; Delphacidae.